GAUGAACGCUGGCGGCGUGCCUAAUACAUGCAAGUCGAGCGAACAGAUAAGGAGCUUGCUCCUUUGACGUUAGCGGCGGACGGGUGAGUAACACGUGGGUAACCUACCUAUAAGACUGGGAUAACUUCGGGAAACCGGAGCUAAUACCGGAUAACAUUUGGAACCGCAUGGUUCUAAAGUGAAAGAUGGUUUUGCGAGCACUUAUAGAUGGACCCGCGCCGUAUUAGCUAGUUGGUAAGGUAACGGCUUACCAAGGCGACGAUACGUAGCCGACCUGAGAGAGUGAUCGGCCACCCUAGAACUUAGACACGGUCCAUACUCCUACGGUAGGCAGCAGUAGGGAAUCUUCCGCAAUGGGCGAAAGCCUGACGGAGCAACGCCGCGUGAGUGAUGAAGGGUUUCGGCUCGUAAAACUCUGUUAUUAGGGAAGAACCAAUGUGUAAGUAACUGUGCACGUCUUGACGGUACCUAAUCAGAAAGCCACGGCUAACUACGUG
Molecule: ribosomal RNA, 497 nt
Filed under: uncultured bacterium
Lineage: Bacteria
Description: partial 16S ribosomal RNA
Rfam family: Bacterial small subunit ribosomal RNA
Source: RNAcentral